RNAcentral lists this ribosomal RNA (709 nucleotides) under uncultured bacterium. Its description in RNAcentral is "bacterial SSU rRNA". It matches the Rfam family "Bacterial small subunit ribosomal RNA", at positions 800 to 1500 of the family's 1533-position model. The record is from RNAcentral.
CCGUAAAACGUUGGGCGCUAGAUGUGGGGACCAUUCCACGGUUUCCGUGUCGUAGCUAACGCAUUAAGCGCCCCCCCCUGGGGAGUACGGCCGCAAGGCUAAAACUCAAAGGAAUUGACGGGGGCCCGCACAAGCGGCGGAGCAUGCGGAUUAAUUCGAUGCAACGCGAAGAACCUUACCCAAGGCUUGACAUAUACGAGAACGCCGCAGAAAUGUGGAACUCUUUGGACACUCGUAUACAGGUGGUGCAUGGUUGUCGUCAGCUCGUGUCGUGAGAUGUUGGGUUAAGUCCCGCAACGAGCGCAACCCUCGUCGUAUGUUGCCAGCACGUAAUGGUGGGAACUCAUAUGAGACUGCCCGGGGUCAACUCGGAGGAAGGUGGGGAUGACGUCAAAUCAUCAUGCCCCUUAUGUCUUGGGCUUCACGCAUGCUACAAUGGCCGGUACAAAGGGCUGCGAUGUCGUAAGGCGGAGCGAAUCCCAAAAAGCCGGUCUCAGUUCGGAUUGAGGUCUGCAACUCGACCUCAUGAAGUCGGAGUCGCUAGUAAUCGCAGAUCAGCAACGCUGCGGUGAAUACGUUCCCGGGCCUUGUACACACCGCCCGUCAAGUCAUGAAAGUCGGUAACACCCGAAGCCGGUGGCCUAACCCUUGUGGAGGGAGCCGUCGAAGGUGGGAUCGGUGAUUAGGACUAAGUCGUAANCNAGGUACC